GCGGACCGAUGGGAGCUUGCUCCCUGAAGUCAGCGGCGGACGGGUGAGUAACACGUGGGCAACCUGCCUGUAAGACUGGGAUAACUCCGGGAAACCGGGGCUAAUACCGGAUAAUUCUUUCCCUCACAUGAGGGAAAGCUGAAAGAUGGUUUCGGCUAUCACUUACAGAUGGGCCCGCGGCGCAUUAGCUAGUUGGUGAGGUAACGGCUCACCAAGGCAGCGAUGCGUAGCCGACCUGAUAGGGUGAUCGGCCACACUGGGACUGAGACACGGCCCAGACUCCUACGGGAGGCAGCAGUAGGGAAUCUUCCGCAAUGGACGAAAGUCUGACGGAGCAACGCCGCGUGAGUGAUGAAGGUUUUCGGAUCGUAAAACUCUGUUGUUAGGGAAGAACAAGUACCGGAGUAACUGCCGGUACCUUGACGGUACCUAACCAGAAAGCCACGGCUAACUACGUGCCAGCAGCCGCGGUAAUACGUAGGUGGCAAGCGUUGUCCGGAAUUAUUGGGCGUAAAGCGCGCGCAGGCGGUUCCUUAAGUCUGAUGUGAAAGCCCCCGGCUCAACCGGGGAGGGUCAUUGGAAACUGGGGAACUUGAGUGCAGAAGAGAAGAGUGGAAUUCCACGUGUAGCGGUGAAAUGCGUAGAGAUGUGGAGGAACACCAGUGGCGAAGGCGACUCUUUGGUCUGUAACUGACGCUGAGGCGCGAAAGCGUGGGGAGCAAACAG
RNAcentral lists this ribosomal RNA (726 nucleotides) under Bacillus sp. SS263-20. It matches the Rfam family "Bacterial small subunit ribosomal RNA", at positions 66 to 775 of the family's 1533-position model. Lineage: Bacteria; Bacillati; Bacillota; Bacilli; Caryophanales; Bacillaceae. The record is from RNAcentral.